Molecule: ribosomal RNA, 433 nt
Filed under: uncultured bacterium
Lineage: Bacteria
Description: partial 16S ribosomal RNA
Rfam family: Bacterial small subunit ribosomal RNA
Source: RNAcentral
AACGAACGCUGGCGGCAUGCCUAACACAUGCAAGUCGAACGAGACCUUCGGGUCUUGUGGCGCACGGGUGCGUAACGCGUGGGAACCUGCACUUAGGUUCGGAAUAACUCCCCGAAAGGGGUGCUAAUACCGGAUAAUGUCUUCGGACCAAAGAUUUAUCGACUUUGGAUGGGCCCGCGUUGGAUUAGCUAGUUGGUAGGGUAAAAGCCUACCAAGGCGACGAUCAAUAGCUGGUCUGAGAGGAUGAUCAGCCACACUGGGACUGAGACACGGCCCAGACUCCUACGGGAGGCAGCAGUGGGGAAUAUUGGACAAUGGGCGAAAGCCUGAUCCAGCAAUGCCGCGUGAGUGAUGAAGGCCUUAGGGUUGUAAAGCUCUUUUACCCGGGAUGAUAAUGACAGUACCGGGAGAAUAAGCUCCGGCUAACUCCGUG